GGCACAGAAGAAUGGUUACACUGGACCAACGUUAGGACCCCGAGAAUCUCAACAUAAUCCUAGAAACUUUGAUGAACAAACAUUACACGCUGGACAAACGGUAAUUGGGUACAGUAUGGUUUCACAGGGGGAGCCAGCCAAAAGGGAAUGAACUUUGGAAAAGCACGGUCAAUCAACGACUGACGUUAUCAAUGAAUGUAUAGUCUAUUUCAAAGUAGUUAGGAUAGAUAUUUUUACAAUUCUCUUUUCAUACUGAACGAUAUUCACCGAGAGUACCAUGAUAAUUGUGAUACUUGCUUAACAUUUAAACCUGAAAACAUGCCGCUGACGGUCAGUAUUUUUCGUGCAAAAAGGAUUUGAUGAAAGUGAGAGUUUAUAUACUGCGUGCUAGAUUUAAGAGGUUUGAAAAUUUGGUUAAUAAAAUUUUUUAAUCAUGUAUUCAAAAGACUGUUUUCUGCGUCAUAUAACAUUGUAUCCACAAGCAUAUAAUAUACAUGUAGUAUUAAUAAAAGGUCAUUUUAUUCGCCAAGUAUGUUCAAAGCUUUACAGACCCACCCGACAACUAUAUUUUUGAAACUGUGACGUAAUUAUGGAAAAAAAAUAUCUUUCAGAUUUCAUUUUUAUAGCGAGAAAAAUUUUUAGUACAAGAAGUAUACAAAUACUCUUUGAUAGACAUAAAAAGAAUAUGUCUUGGUGGGUCUUAUAAAUUACUAUUUUGAUGUGACGUCAUCUUGUUUGUUUGUUUGUUUUUUGUUUGUUUUUUGUUUGUAUUAAUGAUGUUCGUUAGAUAUAAAAACACACUAUAAUCAAAUUAUUUCUGACAUUGUAUUUUUUGUUAAGAGCCUAAGGUUAAAUAGUAACAGAUAUAAUAAAUAAGUUGUUAUGAUGUAAUUCAUGGCAAAUAAGCCAUCUGUCACAGUUCAUAAAACAUAUAAAUAAAUAGAGGAUAUUCAAGUUUUUUUCUAUAAAUACAGGAUUUAUUUCACUGAGUGGUAUGAAAAUAAAUAUUUCAUGAGUGGCGGUAGCUGUGGUAUAAACUUGAAAUUUCUGUUUAUUAUAUACAUUUUUCAUUACAAUUUGAAAGCUUUCCUUCUAUUUUUUGUGUAUUGGCUGAAUUUAGAAUAAAGUAGUCCAGCAAGACACUAGUGAGAAUACAGAAAAUAUGUUUCACUGCAGUGAAACAUAUUUUUACAGUGAAAAUACAGAAAAUGAAAAUAUGCAUUUUAUUUCAUCAAUAUUUCAUUUAAAGCUAUAUAAUAAAGUAAAGAAGAUGUUUAUGUAAACUUCUGCCUGACACUAAAAUGGCGCGUGCUUUUAUAUUUUAUAAGUACAUCGUGGUAUUUAAUACUGAAUCUAUACAAACGUCAUAUUGCCCUUUGGUAAAAAUGAGGUAGUCCUGUUUUAUAUUUUUGGUUAAAUAAAUUCAUCUAACAUUUUCAAUCAUGUAACUCUCACUAAACUAAAAGGCCCAAAGCUACGAUAUUUGUUUUUCAGCAUUGCCUAGAAAACAUCUGUAAACUAUUUUUGAUCGCGCUUUUGUGGUCAAAAUGGUCUCCUCAUUUUAUGAAUGCAUAAUUUUCUAUCUUCUUUCCUGCUUAUGACUGGUGGGCGAUACAGGCCAACUUGGGCCUCUUGUUUAUUUUACAAUUUUUGUUUGCUGUUCACAAAUUGAAAUAGGUCAGGUGGCGAGUCUUCAGGUGUAACAUCCGAUGGAUGUGACAGGUGUUGAUGUCACGUUGAGGUUAUGUAACAUAUUGUAAUCUAACAGACUUCAACGAUGUACGCGCGUUUUGGCUUUAAUAACGCUUGAUUUAUGAUCUGACAGUUGAUACAUUUUCAUUAUUUCUUUUCCAGAUAUAAACAACCAAUCGGGUCAAAAUGUUAUUUAUGUUUUCAAAAAUAUCUGUUAUAUCUCUGAGGGAAAUGGCGAAAAAAUGAUUAAUUAGCUUAGGAUUAUAUUUCUUUUCUUAUUAACAGUAACAAUAAGUCAUUUAAAGGGAGUAUUAAAGGUUAUUUUUUUUUUAUAUUUCAAUUUCAUAUAUCAUUCUCCAAGGACGAAAAAGUGCCAGAACCUAUCCUUGGAGAUGUGUUGACCGUUUUAUCACAUUUUCUUUUAUCUACUACCGCGUGAUAAAAGUUUUAUAAGUUUUUUUACAUUGUCACUUUGUUGUUUUGUUGUUGUUUUUUUGUGCUCUUUGUUAAAAUUGUGUCAUUUAGCACGUAUUUUUGUGUUGUUUAAAUAAAAAGUUGGCUUUUUUAAAUAAAUUUGUUGAGAUAUAAAUUAUUACUUGUAAUUAUAUGCUAAUUAUUUGUAAUAAUAUGGAAAUUACUUGUUAAUAAUAUGCAAAUUACUUGUAAUAAUAUGCAAAUUACUUGUCACAUUUCUUGUAAUUGUAAACAAAUUAUUGUUUCAUAAUAAUUAUUUGAGAUUGUUGGUUAUUCUUUGCAUAUUACUUGUAAUAUUAAAGCCUCAUGUAAUUUAUGCAAUUUACAUGUGGGCAGUUUUUGCACAUUACAUAAUUGAAUAUGCAAAUUGCUUGAUAUUUAAAGCAAAAACUGUAUCUAAUGCAUAUACAUGUAAUUUGUGGUUAUUAUAUGUAAAAUACUUCUUGAUAUAUAACAAACUGCUGAUUCGAAACCAUUUGUCAAUUUAGUGAAUUAAUAUGCACUUUUGAUACAAGUCACGUAAUUUUUUAAGGAAUAUAUUUUUUUGUAAGUUGUAACAAAAUUGCUGGUCUCUUUGACCGACUGGUUAAGAUCGUUGACUUCAAAUCUUUUUGUCCAUAACCGCUAUGGGAUCACAUCCCGUCAAGGGGUUUUGAAUUCUUUCAUGCGAGAAAAAGCUUUCCUACUUGCUUACGAGAGGUCGGACGCUUUAGUCAGGUGCCCGCUUGUGCAUGAAAUGGCACUUGAGGUUCUCCGCCAAUGCAUCUGGAAAGUCACCACGUGAUCUUAACAACGUCAGUGCAUCAUGAAACCCUACAAAUUAUUGAAAUAAAAUAAAAAAUGUUAAAAAAUAAUAAUUCCUUUAAAAAAUUGAUAAAUGAGCCAAUUAUUUUAUUUGUUUUGUAAAAGAGAAGUCAAAGUAAUCUCGAUGUUUAUAGAUCUGUAAAAUAGAUUAAAACAUUUAAAAUA
Long non-coding RNA from Ruditapes philippinarum (Manila clam), 3135 nucleotides. RefSeq lists it as uncharacterized. NCBI's taxonomy places the organism in Eukaryota, Metazoa, Mollusca, Bivalvia, Venerida, Veneridae. The record is from RefSeq and is a predicted model, not a curated record. The transcript is spliced from 2 exons.